GUCAUGUAUCAGGGCCCAGCAACAGUCAGCACAUGCUUUGUGAUCUUGGGCAAGCUGUGUGACUUGUCUGGGCUUCGACUUGGAAGUGCUUGGUCUGGGGCUUGAGAAACAGGAUGAAAGCUGCAGGGAAAGGUGGUCACCAAGCUUUCCUAAAUCAGAAGAUGUGGCUGAGCCUGCAUGGUUUCCCAGGAGGAGAGACCCUUUGCAACAUGAAAUGAGACCCUUGAGGCACAAAGAUGCUAAAUAACUUCCAUCUGGCAAACAGAGCUUGGACCCUCACCUCCAGAUGUUAAGUCUAGACUUCUUCCUGCGAUACUGAAUACAUUCUCCAAAUCCUAUCAGAAUCCGUUGACAAUUCCUGCUGGACUUGCCCUGGGAGGGCAGGAACCAAGCAUUGUUCCUCUGACCCCCAGUCCCAAGCUCUGUGCCUGGCCGUGAAUAUUUGAUGAAUAAAUGAC
This is a long non-coding RNA of Talpa occidentalis (Iberian mole), 458 nucleotides long. RefSeq lists it as uncharacterized. Lineage: Eukaryota; Metazoa; Chordata; Mammalia; Eulipotyphla; Talpidae. The transcript is spliced from 3 exons. The record is from RefSeq and is a predicted model, not a curated record.